Non-coding RNA from Mycena leptocephala, 92 nucleotides. The record is from the annotation of a GenBank genome assembly. Lineage: Eukaryota; Fungi; Basidiomycota; Agaricomycetes; Agaricales; Mycenaceae.
GCGCCCUUGGUGUAGCAGUAACACACAAUUUACUUCUAUCACAGUAUGCCUUCCUUUAGAUUGGGUCCGGGGUUCAACUCCCCGAGGGCGCC